GACAGAGGGUGCGAACGUUGCUCGGAAUCACUGGGCGUAAAGCGCGCGUAGGCGGGCAAGAAAGUUGGUUGUGAAAUCCCUGGGCUCAACCCAGGAACUGCAUCCAAAACUUCUUGUCUGGAGUGACGGAGAGGAUAGUGGAAUUCCCGGUGUAGAGGUGAAAUUCGUAGAUAUCGGGAGGAACACCAGUGGCGAAGGCGGCUAUCUGGACGUCCACUGACGCUGAGGCGCGAAAGCGUGGGGAGCAAACAGG
Molecule: ribosomal RNA, 253 nt
Filed under: uncultured bacterium
Lineage: Bacteria
Description: partial 16S ribosomal RNA
Rfam family: Bacterial small subunit ribosomal RNA
Source: RNAcentral